GAUGAAGAACGCAGUGAAAUGCGAUAAGUAAUGUGAAUUGCAGAAUUCAGUGAAUCAUCGAAUCUUUGAACGCACAUUGCGCCCCUUGGUAUUCCGGGGGGCAUGCCUGUUCGAGCGUCAUUUCAACCCUCAAGCUUAGCUUGGUAUUGAGUCUAUGUCAGUAAUGGCAGGCUCUAAAAUCAGUGGCGGCGCCGCUGGGUCCUGAACGUAGUAAUAUCUCUCGUUACAGGUUCUCGGUGUGCUUCUGCCAAAACCCAAAUUUUUCUAUGGUUGACCUCGGAUCAGGUAGGGAUACCCGCUGAACUUAAGCAUAUCAAUAAGCGGAGGA
This 328-nucleotide unclassified non-coding RNA is filed under the name soil metagenome. RNAcentral's name for it is "partial contains 5.8S ribosomal RNA, internal transcribed spacer 2, and large subunit ribosomal RNA". The stretch from base 1 to 120 matches the Rfam family "5.8S ribosomal RNA", at positions 35 to 154 of the family's 154-position model. The record is from RNAcentral.